GGCGAGGGCAGGGUGUGGGGUGCGCACAGCUUCCCUCCUAGGCGGCGACGUUUACCCAGAAGCAGCUCCCUCUCGUUCCGCUACCAACAGAGGCUUCCGGUCAGCGGAGGGUUUGCUCCGUCUCUUGGUGAACUUGAACAGAGGCAGAGGCAAAAGCAAAACGUUUCUGCGCCAGGAGAUGAGGGUCGGUAGAGCCCUGGAAUGGAGAUGUCCUUGACACCUGGGCAGAGGCUGCAGCUGCAGGACCCUGUGGCCACUGGAGAUAAGUAAUGGUGCCAUUUGAACACCUACUGGAAACGGGGCAGGAACAGUGAGUGACCCCAGGCGAGCACAGGCAGGUGCCAUGAGCCAGGAUGCAAGGAUGAUGCCUCCGGAGGCCCUGGCCUCCCUCCCACCUGGGCGCUAGGAGCCAUCCCGGGGCU
Molecule: long non-coding RNA, 422 nt
Filed under: Pan troglodytes (chimpanzee)
Lineage: Eukaryota; Metazoa; Chordata; Mammalia; Primates; Hominidae
Description: long non-coding RNA NONPTRT006626
Source: RNAcentral